RNAcentral lists this small RNA (562 nucleotides) under Rattus norvegicus (Norway rat). RNAcentral's name for it is "uncharacterized LOC108348789". The record is from RNAcentral. Lineage: Eukaryota; Metazoa; Chordata; Mammalia; Rodentia; Muridae.
AAUUUUGAACAGCUGGGUUUGUUUGUCCAGAAUGUUCCAUGUUGUGACUUUGAAUCAAACACAAUCUUCAAAAACUUAUUAAGACCUUCGCCUGAUCUCAAUGCUGGGGGCAGUAUGAAGCUGAAAGGAUUUCCAGCUCUAAUGACUUUGCCAGAUUGCUAUUUGCUGGUGGAAAGAUGGCAGCCUGAUUCAGUUUUAUGGGGUAGAAAGGAAGAAAUCAAAGUAUGCGAAUGAUUAAAUUGGAAGUCAUUUCCGUUGGAUGGUUGAGAAGAAGAGAAGAGUAAUUGAGAGACUCCUGAUUGAGAUUGUUUGCCAGAGAACGGAAGCUUACCAGGAAAUAGAAUGGUAAUUGAGGAAACAGACAGAGCCUUGUCCCCAUCCCCAGAGUACUACUCAAAUGGAUUGCCUGUGCUCCUGGAGAGUUGGAACAGACUGACUUCUUGUAUUAGAAAAUGUCUAAUUUAUGGAUCCAUUUCCCACUGAGAUUCUUGCUAGGUGCUGAAAUUCCUCUUACCCCAUUUCAACAUUUACAGGUAGUGUACUUAUACGUGUACUAAAUAAA